This 429-nucleotide long non-coding RNA is filed under the name Chrysemys picta bellii (western painted turtle). RNAcentral describes it as "lncRNA (ENSCPBG00000010131.1)". Lineage: Eukaryota; Metazoa; Chordata; Testudines; Emydidae. The record is from RNAcentral.
UUCCUCCAUAAUCACAGCAGCUCUCUCUGCCCUGCCAGGAGAAGAAAGUGAAGGAGAGGCAGGUGCAGCGAUUCCUGUACCCUCUGUGGGGGUGCCAGCAGCAGCCAGAUGUCCAACCCCUGGUGGAGUUCCUCACCGCAGUUAGACGGUGCAUGCCACACAGGAAGCGAGCCGGCCCGCUGCUCCUGCACUGCAGCAGUGGCGUUGGCCAGAUGGGGAUGCUGAUCGCACUGGAUUGCCUGCUGCACCAGAUGAAAGCGGAGCGGAGUGUGGAUGUCUACGGAGUCACCCUCAGGCUGAUGAGAAGCUGCUGCCUCAUGACCCCGACGCCGGAUCAGUACGUGUUCUUGUACACGUGCAUCCGGGACAUCCUCACCCAGAGACAGCCCUAGGAAGAGCACAGCAGCUCCUGCCCCCGAGAGAGCCUGG